UGCAAAAAUUUGGAUAAUGCACUCCAUGGUUUGGCUUCAUCAACAAGCACAGAACAAGCAUUUCCCUUCUUGAUUUUCUACAGGACCCAUUAAGGCUUUUUUCUGAUAAAUUUUCAGUACAAUUCUAUCUGAUAAUAACCAUCUGCAUUUGACAAAUAAUACAGAACUCUAUGGGCUAAUUUUUAACACAAGAAUUCCCCAAACAUGACAACUCAACUCAACUCAACUAAGCCUUUAUCCCAAAAAUUUAGGGUCGGCUCCCAAGCAUGACAAUAACCAUAAAUUAAAGUUUCCAAAUAAUGACUGCAUUUUUAUACACAACAGAAAAGCAAAAUUAAAGAACAGAAUAGGCACGUUCUCAGUUUCAACUAUGUACCUGUUCCAGCAGCUUGUGCCCACUUGAUAGUUGAACGGGCCAAUGCAUCGAUUGGAUCAAUACAUUUCUUGAGAAGAGGAUCAUCCUGAGGCAAAAGAUCACACAGAUCAUCAGAGGCAAGGAUAACAGUAUUCACUGCCCUCACUAGAAGAACCUGGACUGCUAUUCUCAGCAGAUUCCUUGCCCCUUUCAUAUCCCUUCUGUUUAAAGCUUCAAUUGCAGGAAUUACAGCGUGUUCCAUGGUUGCUUUAUCUGGUAGCACAACCUCAAACCCCUCGCACUGCAGUUUCUCUUGAUAGAAACCCGCAUUCAAAGUAGCAUGGGUUGCUAGCACCCCAAUCCGCAAAGGACUUCCUGCUUCUAGUGGCUUCAGCUUAGCUUCCUUAAGCUCCUUAGCAACACACUCACCCAUAUGAAGUAAAUGAACAGAACUCCCCUUUGAGAUCUCAUCAUGCCAAGCAUGUGAAAUAUGACAAGGCAUUACAAUACAGUGAGCUCCUGAUUUCUCAAGAAAAAAAUCAGGAGCUCACUGUAGAUUCUCCAAAAUUGGAGUAUGAUCCAAUUGAGAAUGUUCAUUUCCCCUACCAAGAGAGGGAAAAGACUCUCUUUCAUGUAAUAAAAGCUUCUUAUUUAACACUGGAUCAGAGCAAAGAACAAAUGGAAAGCAAUCUUGACCAUCUUUUGUACUCCACUGGACUACUUUUUUCAGGAAAUUCAGAGAAGAAUUUGCUGAUAUUCCUCCUAAUAUACCAACAGUAUUUGCUUGACUAACCAACGAAUCAGAAGAGCCACUGCCAUUCUCAUCUGUGUGCAAGACAGUUGAUGAUGAGGGUAUGGCUAGAACUGGCUUCAACCUUGCCUUACGUGUUUUAUGAGAAUUUACAUGACUGAAUGCAUAAGAUGGGUAAUUCAACGCGUAGAACAUCUCAUAAACCAAAAAAAAGAAAAUAAAGCAGCGAACAAGCUUGAAAGAAUUUCUCAAUCAACGCCCAGGAAUCACAAGCCACUUCUAAAUUCUGCCAUACUAGCUUCUGGAAAUUUUUGCAACUAAAGAAUUUUGACAAAAUUUCUAUUCUUCCCUCAGAAAUCACACAUCCAAACAAACUUCUCUCUCAAUUUUUUUUCCUUCCAAAGGAAAAUCCCUGCCCCCAAAAGAGGUAAUAAUCACAAAUUACCAAUCCUCCUUAGCCCUUAAACAGUUAAAACCCCAAUAUUUAGUUGGGUUUCCAAAUUAACUGCAUGUUAGCAGUAACCCACUUCCAGAACAGCAAAACCCUUCAUUGGGUUGCCAAAAAGAAUACCAAGGAAGUUACAGCAAAGCAAUCUACAGAUACUCCCCCCAUAUUUGAGAAAAAAUGUCAAAACCAAACUGCAAACCCAAAAAUUUUCUCCACG
This 1771-nucleotide unclassified non-coding RNA is filed under the name Hevea brasiliensis (rubber tree). The record is from RNAcentral. Lineage: Eukaryota; Viridiplantae; Streptophyta; Magnoliopsida; Malpighiales; Euphorbiaceae.